This 489-nucleotide ribosomal RNA is filed under the name uncultured Altererythrobacter sp. RNAcentral describes it as "bacterial SSU rRNA". It matches the Rfam family "Bacterial small subunit ribosomal RNA", at positions 1 to 531 of the family's 1533-position model. The record is from RNAcentral. Lineage: Bacteria; Pseudomonadati; Pseudomonadota; Alphaproteobacteria; Sphingomonadales; Erythrobacteraceae.
GAAUUCGCCCUUAGAGUUUGAUCCUGGCUCAGAACGAACGCUGGCGGCAUGCCUAACACAUGCAAGUCGAACGAACCCUUCGGGGUGAGUGGCGCACGGGUGCGUAACGCGUGGGAACCUGCCUUUAGGUUCGGAAUAACAGUUAGAAAUGACUGCUAAUACCGAAUAAUGUCUUCGGACCAAAGAUUUAUCGCCUUUAGAUGGGCCCGCGUUGGAUUAGCUAGUUGGUGGGGUAAAGGCUCACCAAGGCGACGAUCCAUAGCUGGUCUGAGAGGAUGAUCAGCCACACUGGGACUGAGACACGGCCCAGACUCCUACGGGAGGCAGCAGUGGGGAAUAUUGGACAAUGGGCGAAAGCCUGAUCCAGCAAUGCCGCGUGAGUGAUGAAGGCCUUAGGGUUGUAAAGCUCUUUUACUAGGGAUGAUAAUGACAGUACCUAGAGAAUAAGCUCCGGCUAACUCCGUGCCAGCAGCCGCGGUAAUAAGGGCG